Molecule: ribosomal RNA, 253 nt
Filed under: uncultured bacterium
Lineage: Bacteria
Description: partial 16S ribosomal RNA
Rfam family: Bacterial small subunit ribosomal RNA
Source: RNAcentral
UACGUAGGGAGCAAGCGUUGUCCGGAAUCAUUGGGCGUAAAGCGCGCGUAGGUGGCUUCGUAAGUCCGUUGUGAAAGUCAAAGGCUCAACCUUUGAAAGCCGAUGGAUACUGUGAAGCUAGAGUACGGAAGAGGCGAGUGGAAUUCCUGGUGUAGCGGUGGAAUGCGCAGAUAUCAGGAGGAACACCAAUAGCGAAGGCAGCUCGCUGGGACGUUACUGACACUGAGACGCGAAAGCGUGGGGAGCAAACAGG